AAAACAUCGCCUCCUGCAACACAACCAAGUAUAGGAGGUCCAGCCUGCCCGGUGACUACAAGUUUAACGGCCGCGGUAUUUUGACCGUGCAAAGGUAGCGCAAUCACUUGUCUUUUAAAUAGAGACCUGUAUGAAUGGCCAAACGAGGGCUUAACUGUCUCCCCUUUCCAGUCAGUGAAAUUGAUCUGCCCGUGCAGAAGCGGACAUAAUAAUACAAGACGAGAAGACCCUUUGGAGCUUAAGGUACAAAAAUCAACCACGUAAAGCAACUCAAUAAGAAGAAUAAACUUUGUGGGAAAUGAAAUUUUACCUUCGGUUGGGGCGACCACGGAGAAAAGUAAAUCCUCCAAGUGGAUUGGGGCUAAAUCCCCUAAAACCAAGAGAAACAUCUCUAAGCCACAGAACAUCUGACCAAACAUGAUCCGGCCAAUAAAGCCGAUCAACGAACCAAGUUACCCUAGGGAUAACAGCGCAAUCCUCUCCCAGAGUCCAUAUCGACGAGGGGGUUUACGACCUCGAUGUUGGAUCAGGACAUCCUAAUGGUGCAGCCGCUAUUAAGGGUUCGUUUGUUCAACGAUUAAAGUCCUACGUGA
Molecule: ribosomal RNA, 593 nt
Filed under: Mystacoleucus ectypus
Lineage: Eukaryota; Metazoa; Chordata; Actinopteri; Cypriniformes; Cyprinidae
Description: partial 16S ribosomal RNA
Rfam family: Bacterial large subunit ribosomal RNA
Source: RNAcentral